This 744-nucleotide ribosomal RNA is filed under the name Triticum aestivum (bread wheat). RNAcentral's name for it is "partial small subunit ribosomal RNA". Lineage: Eukaryota; Viridiplantae; Streptophyta; Magnoliopsida; Poales; Poaceae. The record is from RNAcentral.
AUGGGGGAUAGGAUCCCUAACCUGCAAGACUUGAACCUGUGUCUGGUCGGUUCUUGGAUUAAGAGAUACAUUUUUAGUGAGGGAUCCCUGUGGAGGAAAGUGAUAGAUGCUAAGUAUAAUACUAGGAGUCCAAACAUCCUUUGUUGUCAUGAUCCACACCCAUCUCAAUUCUGGAAGGGUGUGAUGUGGGCCAUGAAAGCAAUCAAAUUUGGAUAUAGGUGGAGUGUGGGUGAUGGCAGAUCAAUUCUCUUUUGGGAAGAUAUUUGGUUUGGAAACUCACCCCUAGCUACCCAAUUCUGGGGCUUGUACUGCAUAGUGAAUGAGGAAAACAAAAUGGUGGCAGACAUUUGGGAUGGUCUGUCUCUUAAAAUCUCCUUUAGGAGAAACUUUGAUGAGGAGCUUAUGUUACAAUGGCUUGACCUAGAAAAUGUUGCUAGAUCUAUUGUUUUUUCUGAUCAAAACGAUAAGCUGAUCUGGCAAUAUGAAUCUAAAGGCGUAUAUUCUUCAAAAUCUCUUUAUGCUAUUGUUAACUUUAGAGGGGUGCAACCUAUUUACCUCCCGUCUGUUUGGGGGAUUAAGAUUCCACCAAAAAUCCAGGGUUUCCUUUGGCUGUUCUCCCAGAAUAAGAUCAUGACCUGUGAUAACCUGAGAAAAAGAGGUAUUCCAAAACCUCUAGAGUGUGUCCACUGUACUGAGAUCGAGUCGGUUCAUCACUUGUUUUUGAAUGUGUGGUUGCUAGAUUAG